This 926-nucleotide long non-coding RNA is filed under the name Bemisia tabaci. Its description in RNAcentral is "lncRNA ENSASIAIIG000453". The record is from RNAcentral. Lineage: Eukaryota; Metazoa; Arthropoda; Insecta; Hemiptera; Aleyrodidae.
CUUUUUGACUGUUUUUGACAGUCAAAAUGGUCAAAAGAGGUCCAAUCCGGAGUCCACUGCGCAUGCGCCAGAGACUUCGCGGCCUCGUUGGCAAAUGUCUGGUGAUGUCAUCGAUUAUUGAACUUUCAAUUCUAACCUCAUUUUUGUGUACACUUGAUCAGUGUGUUGUGAAUUCUCAAAGAAGUCAAAAUUAACACCGCAAUCUGCCGAUUUCAAUCCUCCUUCGUCCUGUGUAAAAUUAUUACCCACAAUCAUUUUUCCUGUCGGCCGCCAUGAUCGAAGCAGAUGGAUGACAGUGGAAUUGACAGUGACCAAAAAUAUCAACUCCUUUUUGAGAAUCAAGUGUUAUUGGCAAAUGACAGCUCAGGAGCUAACAUUUCUACUUUCAAUUCUGCGUUGAAGUCUAGUAAAACUCUGCCAUUUUGUAAAUCGGAUAAGUUUUGUGACGAAGUAUUUGAAGUGAAGAAAACAGCUUCGCUUAUUCCAAUUGAUCUACUGCCCAUUCCAGCAUCAAAAACUCACGUUUUAGAGCAAAUCGAGAAUAAGCCAUUGGUUGACUGGGAGUCUGAUGAUCGGUGAGUUCAGUUUAUUCUUAGUAGAGCAAAACUGUAUGGUUGCUCACCUUCUAUUGCCAAAUUCAAAAUUCAAAACAUGAAAUGAAAAAUGUUUUUUUGACCUGCAUCAAAUCUACUGCCUACCUCUAAAAUCGGUUAAAAGUGAUUAAGUAUGAGCUGAAAACAAUUAAAUAGUUGCUCUACUAUAAUGUAACGAGAAAAUCAUGGGAACGGUAGGAGCAAAGCUUAGCUCAAAUGUAAGUAAAAUUUGAGCUAUGUUUAUGUGGCAACCUAAGUUAUCAUCAAUUGGACUACACUUUGAAAUUUGAAACUUCAAUUUUCAGCUCACUUUAGAAACAACAUAUGUGCCAU